RNAcentral lists this ribosomal RNA (440 nucleotides) under uncultured Eubacteriales bacterium. RNAcentral's name for it is "bacterial SSU rRNA". It matches the Rfam family "Bacterial small subunit ribosomal RNA", at positions 338 to 795 of the family's 1533-position model. The record is from RNAcentral. Lineage: Bacteria; Bacillati; Bacillota; Clostridia; Eubacteriales.
CCUACGGGUGGCAGCAGUGGGGGAUAUUGCACAAUGGGCGAAAGCCUGAUGCAGCGACGCCGCGUGAAGGAAGAAGUAUUUCGGUAUGUAAACUUCUAUCAGCAGGGAAGAAAAUGACGGUACCUGACUAAGAAGCCCUGGCUAAAUACGUGCCAGCAGCCGCGGUAAUACGUAUGGGGCAAGCGUUAUCCGGAUUUACUGGGCGUACAGGGAGCGUAGGCGGCAUGGCAAGUCUGAUGUGAAAGACCGGGGCUUAACUCCGGGGUUGCAUUGGAAACUUUCAAGCUAGAGUGUCGGAGAGGUAAGCGGAAUUCCUGGUGUAGUGGUGAAAUGCGUAGAUAUUAGGAGGAACAUCGGUGGCGAAGGCGGCUUACUGGACGAUAACUGACGCUCAGGCUCGAAAGCGUGGGGAGCAAACAGGAUUAGAUACCCUAGUAGUC